ACGCCACUAACAGAUCCAAUCAACAAUCUAUGAGUAGAAGCAUCUGGGACCCAACCCUUCUCCAACAUCAAAUCCAAUAAUCGACGUGCCUCGUUCCUAUGGCCCUCUUUCCAGAGACCAGUAACCAGUAUGUUGUACAUUGCUGAAUCAAGAACUUGUGAAUCAGGAACAAGAUUGUCAAUUGUUGUUAAAAUCAGAUACAGCUGUGAAUGAUUGGCUAAGCAUAAUAAUAGAUUAUGCAGUACGUCUGCAUCAGGUAUUAAACCCUCUUUAACCAUGGUAUUGAAAAAUAAAGCAGAGUCCUUUAUUCGAUUCUGCUCAAUCAUGCUUUGUAUCAGAAUGCAAUAUGCUCCUGAAUCUGCAUUGCAGCCCUUAACCAGCAUUUGUGAGAGAAAUUCUAGAAGAUUUCUUCCCUUGUCUGAUUUAGACAAGCCAAGCAGAAUAUAAUUGUAAGUGGCAUUAGCACAAG
RNAcentral lists this unclassified non-coding RNA (469 nucleotides) under Hevea brasiliensis (rubber tree). The record is from RNAcentral. Lineage: Eukaryota; Viridiplantae; Streptophyta; Magnoliopsida; Malpighiales; Euphorbiaceae.